GUCUCCGUAGCUCAGGGGAUAGAGCACUCGCCUCCUAAGCGAGGGGCCGUGCGUUCAAAUCGCACCGGGGACGCCA
RNAcentral lists this transfer RNA (76 nucleotides) under bacterium UBP9_UBA11836. RNAcentral's name for it is "tRNA-Arg". It matches the Rfam family "tRNA". Rfam says of the family: Transfer RNA (tRNA) molecules are approximately 80 nucleotides in length. Their secondary structure includes four short double-helical elements and three loops (D, anti-codon, and T loops). Further hydrogen bonds mediate the characteristic L-shaped molecular structure. tRNAs have two regions of fundamental functional importance: the anti-codon, which is responsible for specific mRNA codon recognition, and the 3' end, to which the tRNAs corresponding amino acid is attached (by aminoacyl-tRNA synthetases). tRNAs cope with the degeneracy of the genetic code in two manners: having more than one tRNA (with a specific anti-codon) for a particular amino acid; and 'wobble' base-pairing, i.e. permitting non-standard base-pairing at the 3rd anti-codon position. RNAcentral also lists the same sequence under 1 other name. The record is from RNAcentral.